UCUUGCUGCUAUUGUGUGUGUGUCUGUGUGUGUGUGUGAGUGUGCUUUCAAGUGGUGCCGAAACCCGGGAACGUGUAUGUGUGCUUUCAAGUGGUGCCGAAACCCGGGAACGUGUAUGUGUGUUUUCACCUGCCCCAGGAUGUUAAAAGGAAACUACAGCUGGAAACACAAGUGGGAAAGAAAUCCUUGGGGAUAUGUCAAUACAGUGCCACAGAUGUCAUGGUGGCAUGGAUGAUGGAUGGCAUCAAGUAGCAGUCCUUGGGUCUGCCUUGGUUUGUACCUGCUCUGGAAGGAAGGAGUGGCUGCCCAGUGUUAUGAGCAAGGAGGGAGACAGACUUCAGUGACGAGGGCUGGUGCUACUGCACAGGUUGGUGCUUGACCUGCUGGAUGCUGGGAUUGCCAUCCCAUCUGCUAGCUGAACAGGGAACCACUUGUGCUCUGCUGGACUGCCAGACAGUGCCUGCUGGGGAUAUGUGAGAAUGCCACCUGAAGUUAACUGGUUAUUUCAUUCACAGGUAUGACAUACUUCAUUGAAAAGCAACUUCUUAAUGCAUAUGUAUGAGGCAUAUGAGAAGCAGUUGUCUGUAAAGCCUAUAGCUUGGAAACACAUGUAGAAGAUUUCUCUUGCUGUUAAAGGUCAUUCCUUUUUCUGGUAAAUGCAUACUUGUUUAAGUGGUGUGUUUCCUGGAAUACUCUGCUCCCAAGAUGAUUGUUGCUGAAAAGUACUCUUAUAGUUAAAUGUAUGCUGUAUGGAGUAUUUCAUACUUGUAAGUACUUUUUGUGAUAGGCUCUUGGCUAAAGAGAAGUGAAAGAAAGUGUGUCAUUCUCCUGUAUGAGGAAAGACUGAGUAACCUGAUUCUGUUCAGCCUGGGGAAAAGAAGACUGAGGGGGGAUCUGAUUAAUGUUUCUAAACAUCUAAAGGGAGGUGAGAGGCAAACGGAUGAAGCCAGGCUCAUCUUGAUGGUGCGUAGUGAUAGUGCAAGGAGUAAUGGCCUAAAACUUGAACGUAGGAAGUUCCAUGCUAACAUGUGAAAGGAUUUCUUUCCAGUAAGGGUGACAGAGCACUGGAACAAGCUGCCUGGAGAGGUUGUGGAGUCUCCUUCUAUGGAGAUAUUCAAGACUCGUCUGGACACCUACCUGUGCAACAUACUGUAGGUACCUGCUAUUUGUAGGGUACUUCGAUGAUCUGUUGAGGUCUCUUCCAACCCCCACAGUUCUGUGAUUCCGUGAUUCUAAAUUGUAGAUUGAACAUAAACUGGUUUCUUGCUGUCUUCUGCUGCUGACAUCAGGGAAUGCCAAUGGUCCUCUUUUUCACUGGAGAGAGACAUUAUGCUACAGUGGUCUCAGGCUCCUUGUGCACCAACAUCUGCAGAAAAACAAGUGUCUUAAGAAAGGUAGUUGCCCAUGCAGUGAGGCACUGACCUUGACCUCUUUACUAUUAGGUGUGAGAUGGUUGUUUCUGUCUUCAGCCAGACUUUUUUGCUUGUUUCCCAUGUAUUUCUGUGCAGCCAAAGUUUGCCCAACAAAUUUUAACAUAAAGCGAAUUGGAGAUUUGCUGUCAGCAAAUUAAUGCCUUCUUCCAAUGCUGAACUGAGCAGAAGACGUGUUGGAGAUCUGUCAGCAAUUACAGCGAAGCAGCAGUCAUUGGAUUGGAAGACUUAAAUUACAUGACAUUUUGAGGGAAACUUCUCUGACUACAGCAUCCGAAUAACUGCCAUCUAUUUAUGGGCAAGAUAUAAGCAGCAGCAGCAGCAGAAAAGGAAGAUUUGUCAGGUGAUAAGUGUUCAGAGGCUGCUGCAAGGGCAAUGCAUUUUUUUUUCUCAUUGUUCUAGACAUGAUGAAAAGCAGCAUGCUCCGACUGCAGCAAGCAAGAUCCAGGUUAGAUAGUGAAUAAAGCUUACUGUCAUUGCAGGAAAUGAAGUAGCAUAUAGGCUGUGAGGGAGCUGAGGCAUCCCCAUCACUGCGGAGCUUUAAGAGCAGAUGGAACAAACGUUCGUCUGAAGAGAUGUUGCUGUAGGUGACCCUGCCUUCAGGCUGGGGGAGCACAUGAGACUCUUCCAGUCUCAAUAUCCUCUUGCUAUCUGAGAUGAUUAUUUGCUACGGCCAAGUCUGCUGGCAUCAACACCACAGCAAUGUGUUUGUCAGACUGUUUAGAUCCCUGCAAGUGCACACAACAAGCCGAACAGCUGCAAGCUUAAUGCUUCAUUUUUAAUUGGGGCUAAUUUCCUAAAAUGAAAAUGAGAUUGGGGAAUUUAUAUAGGAAGCUUGUUUUGAAAGGUGUGAUUGUAACACUUGCUGCUUCUGAUAUUGCAAAGUCGGUCAUUCAGCACUACACUUUCUGUGGAACAUUUUUUUUUUUUUAAUAGAAGCUGUUCUUGAUUCAGGUAAGACCCAAGUGUUGUAAGACAGAGCUGUGAGAAUUACAGCAACUUCUUGUUGCCACCCUGUGCAUGGAGAGACAGCAAUGCUUCCCCAUGUGCUCCCUGUGGUUCCUGGCACUUGCUGGUUUUUUUGGGAAGAACCUCAGGUGAUGUGGUAAAUGUCCUUUGCAGAGGCCAUAUGAACCAAAGCUGUGUCCAAGGUGGUCAACUAGAAAGGCUAAGGCCCUUCAUGGUUUCCAGUCUGCUUUCAUCUGCACAGUAUCUGCUUCCUAGAGUGUGUGAAAUGCAUGGUUUGGGGCAUGGCGAUCUAGGCAGCUUCCUCGGUUCUGCCUGAUGUAGCUAGUAGCAGCAGGCCUUUGGUCACCAAAGUCUGUGCAUGACAGGCAUCUGGUGGCAAAUGACAAUGUGAUAUGUUGACCGCCAUGAAUGCUGGGACAGCAGAAUGGUGACAGAAAAGGUGGUUAUCUAGGUUAGUGCCAGUGUGGCCAAAACCAGUAGCUGUCAUCAUCAUUACACCCUAGGUGUCAGUAGAGGUACAUGUUAGAGAAAUAACUGGGCUCCAGAGUAUGACAGUGUUGUAUUUGAAAGUGAUGUUGGGCUGUGCCAACAGUGACAUGAACAGUGACAGGGACUGGUGGGAGAUUACUCCUCCUGCGACUAAGUGGAUCUCAUGGGGUGUAGGUACUCAGCCAAGGGCGCACAAAUGUCUGGGCACGCUGCUUGCAGGGGAGGUGGUGGCGAGGCCUGGGCUGGGAAGAAGCUGGGGAGGCAACAGGUGACAGUGUGCCUUGGAGGCCUCCAUGAUGAACAUGACCACCAUGAACUUGCUGAUGGUGUGCUCCCAACCUGAGGUGGGGCAAAUAGGGAACUGAUGUGACCGACUUUCAGAAGGGAACAAUUACCUCUGUCAGCACUGGGACUGAAGGCUGGAUUUUGUGGAGCUGCCACUACUGGACUGGCAGCUGCCCUGGGCCUAGGACCAUGAGAAUUCACAUACUCAGAUUAGUGGCCCAGUGGCCUAAUUUUAAUGAAGUACUUGUGCACCUCUUCUUGUGUAGCUGUGCAAACCAGGCUGUCCUGGAGAUGAGCUGCACCAGGUGAAAGUCACACAUGGAUUCACAGAUGUUGCCUAGGCAAGGAGUUUCCAUCAGGCUGGAUAUUACAAAAAAUUUCUUCUCUGAAAGAGUGGUCAGGUGCUGGAACAGACUGCACAGAGAGAUGGUUGUUACCAUGCCUGGAGGUGUUCUGAAACCAUUCAAAUGUACUGAAGGGCAUGGUUUAGUGGGAAAAUAUUGGUGGCAGUUGGACAUUUGGACUGAAUGAUCUUGGAGAUCUUUUCCUAUCUUGGUGAUUCUGUGAUUCAGUGAUUCAAUUCUUCUUUUUUUCUGUCUAUAGACCAAUGAUAUUUUUGUACAGGACAUUAACAAAUAUUUAAUCAAAACAGCAAUACUGUCAGUUAGAAAAAAAUGCCCUCGAGGAAAACUAUUUUAACAUUGCCACAUGUAGCACAUGGACUUGUGAGCAGAGAAGCUGUACCACUCUGGUUGCAACAAUGAAACUUUUUCUCUCUCUUUUUUUUUUUGGCACUGAAUCUUCAAGUUUUCGGGUGUUGUGUUUGGAAUUAGUUCACCCACAUGGCUGGCUUCAUUUGCAUUCCUUUUCCUUUUUGUGCCCAUGAAUUCACUGCAAAAAGCUGGCUCUUUCCUUCGUCUGAACAUGUAUUCCCACUUUUAUUUCCUCAGAUAGCCUUGCUGUUUCCAGCAGCCUGCAGGUUGCACAUCGCUGUUGUGGAGACGUGAGGUAGAAAAUACUUUCAUGCGAUUCAAAGAAAGACCAAAGUUAGCGCAAAGUGUGCACAUGCAGUCGCCUACAGACAAGGCAGGGGUCCAAGUUGCCAAUGGAGGCAGUGAGAAUCUAGAGCAGAAAUUAGGUAGCAUCUAGUGACACCUGAGGUGCCGUACAGUGUCCUACUGUUGCCUUGGAAAUGCACAGAUCUGUGAGGCCUCUGUCAUGUCUGGGUGCAGGUAUCUCUUCCAGGGCAAAAUGAAUCGCAACCCCCAACUCCAAAAGGCUGAGUUGGGCAGAUCUCUCCCGGCAGUGAUGGGAGCUGACAGGCCCAGCACACACACAGAAACUUCCCAGUAUACAUUGAAAUUUUGGUGUUUUCAUCUGCAGUCAGACCUCAUCCCCUCUGUCUGUACUCCAAGCUCCCCUUGAUAAUUUCUCCUGUGCUCCCAGUCUUGGUCUCAUCAGGCAGAGGAUAUAAUGCAACCUUGACCAUUUGGGAUUUCAAUUCAUUUUGCAUCUGCUGGCAAGGAGCAGUGGAGCUCUAUUCACCCUUCUUUUUAAGCAAGAGAUUACAUGAAAUAAUCUUCUUUUGGCCUUAGAAAACAAUGUGCUUAUGCACUGGGCACCAAAAAGCUUUGGAUCAUUGAAACUUCUGUACCCUACAAGGCCAAGUACUGCAUUUUUGGCAAGAAAAUGAGCUUCAUAUAAAACAUAAUGUAGCAGUUAUUUUGGCAAGAAUUAGAAGUGGCAAGCUGCUUUAGAGCCAGUGAGAGGUCUUAUAACUAUGGAGGCUUUUGAUAUGACUAGUUAAGAUGCUCACUUGUCAAUCAGUGCACAUAGAGCGGUAGAUUGGUAAAAAAGGAUUGUGAAAUUGUGGGUUACCAGGAAAGAUAAAAAGACUGACCUGAGGAACUGUGUGCUUAACACACUUGAUGAGCAGUAAAAACAAAGUAUGUAUGAAGUUGAUAAAAAGCCAGAAAAUGAUUGGAAAAUGUUCAGUAUAAAGUAACUGGGCAAAGUUAAGGCACAGAGACAAUUCAUCAGUGUAAGGCAAUCACACUCCUGUGCUGAGGAAGACAAUACUUGUCAGCUAGGAAUUACAUCCAGACUUGAGCUGUCAGUGUUCAGGGAGCUUUCCUUACAAGUGCCAUGGGGGUGACGGUGCAGAGCAUGUCUGCUCUGUGACAGUCCAACAUCAGGGCAGGGCUGGGCAGCCCAGCUCUGCCUCCUGUGCCCAGGGGUCUGUGUGGGACAUGAAAUCUUGUCUGCUUCCAGCUGCUGCCUUGGGGAGGAGGCAAGAUUCACUUAUGAGAAAAGUAUGCCUUUCAGCUCAGAUGACAGCAGCCGGUAGUUUUCAUGCUGAUGAUAGUAGUUCUGUCCCUAAUGGGGCACAUAUAUAAGUAGAAGCAUAAUGCAUUUAACCUGUCACUUCCUUAGCUUGCCUAGCUUUUUUCCUGUCAUUUCAAUGCCAAAGCGUUGAUCUCAGAGUACCACAUUUGCAGAGUGCUCUUGCAGAUAUACAGAAUUGAUGAGAAAUACAGUGAAAACAUAGGGAGCAAAUCAAGAGGGCAAAUCAGCCUUCAUUCUGGUUAUGUUCUAGCCAGGCUGUUGUUUCACAUUCUAUGGUUAGGCUUGCUAUGGCUUUUAUUUAGCUGCUUGAGAAAUGCACAUUCUAACCAAUGUGCUUCUGAUGAAGUCAAACCAAACCAUUAAAUCUAAAGGAAGUGAUUCACAAUAAAGUAGUACAAUAGUGUGGAAGAAGGAAACAGAGAUGGAAUCAAGAAAAUCCUUCUCAUAAAAUAACUUGCACAACAGCAAUGUUUGUUUUAGUAACUCUGAAAGGCAGAUUAUGAGUCAAAUUUUAUGUCAACCUUCAGAAAUGGCUCUACAUUUUGUUUAUCAGGAGACUGAUUCAAAGACAGUUGAAGACAGUACCAGAUCUACCGCUGAUUUAUGUGCCUUUGAAUCAAGUACCAAUCAUUUUAUGAGUGUGUAAUAUAUAAAAAUUAAACACAACCAGCUGAUACACAACUUCUUAAAACUUUAUGUGAAAACAGUUCCCAUUAGAAGAUACCCUACAGGCUGUUUCUUCAAUAUAUAAAUAGCUGUAAAUAUAUAAAUAUAUAAAUAUCUUCAAUAUAUAAAUAAAUAAAUA
This is a long non-coding RNA of Numida meleagris (helmeted guineafowl), 6324 nucleotides long. RefSeq lists it as uncharacterized. The record is from RefSeq and is a predicted model, not a curated record. NCBI's taxonomy places the organism in Eukaryota, Metazoa, Chordata, Aves, Galliformes, Numididae. The transcript is spliced from 2 exons.